RNAcentral lists this ribosomal RNA (305 nucleotides) under uncultured bacterium. Its description in RNAcentral is "bacterial SSU rRNA". It matches the Rfam family "Bacterial small subunit ribosomal RNA", at positions 339 to 641 of the family's 1533-position model. The record is from RNAcentral.
CCACGGGGCGCAGCAGUGAGGAAUAUUGGUCAAUGGGCGGAAGCCUGAACCAGCCAAGUCGCGUGAGGGAAUAAGGCCCUACGGGUCGUAAACCUCUUUUGCCGGGGAGCAAGGGCCGGGACGCGUCCCGGCCCGGAGAGUACCCGGAGAAAAAGCAUCGGCUAACUCCGUGCCAGCAGCCGCGGUAAUACGGAGGAUGCUAGCGUUAUCCGGAUUUAUUGGGUUUAAAGGGUGCGUAGGCGGGCUUUUAAGUCAGCGGUAAAAAUUCGUGGCUCAACCCCGUCCGGCCGUUGAAACUGGGGGCC